AUUGAACGCUGGCGGCAGGCCUAACACAUGCAAGUCGAACGGUAACAGGAAACAGCUUGCUGUUUCGCUGACGAGUGGCGGACGUGUGAGUAAUGUCUGGGAAACUGCCUGAUGGAGGGGGAUAACUACUGGAAACGGUAGCUAAUACCGCAUAACGUCGCAAGACCAAAGAGGGGGACCUUCGGGCCUCUUGCCAUCGGAUGUGCCCAGAUGGGAUUAGCUAGUAGGUGGGGUAACGGCUCACCUAGGCGACGAUCCCUAGCUGGUCUGAGAGGAUGACCAGCCACACUGGAACUGAGACACGGUCCAGACUCCUACGGGAGGCAGCAGUGGGGAAUAUUGCACAAUGGGCGCAAGCCUGAUGCAGCCAUGCCGCGUGUAUGAAGAAGGCCUUCGGGUUGUAAAGUACUUUCAGCGGGGAGGAAGGGAGUAAAGUUAAUACCUUUGCUCAUUGACGUUACCCGCAGAAGAAGCACCGGCUAACUCCGUG
RNAcentral lists this ribosomal RNA (490 nucleotides) under uncultured bacterium. RNAcentral describes it as "partial 16S ribosomal RNA". It matches the Rfam family "Bacterial small subunit ribosomal RNA", at positions 30 to 507 of the family's 1533-position model. The record is from RNAcentral.